This 497-nucleotide ribosomal RNA is filed under the name uncultured bacterium. Its description in RNAcentral is "partial 16S ribosomal RNA". It matches the Rfam family "Bacterial small subunit ribosomal RNA", at positions 28 to 507 of the family's 1533-position model. The record is from RNAcentral.
GACGAACGCUGGCGGCGUGCCUAAUACAUGCAAGUUGAGCGAUGAAGAUUGGUGCUUGCCCCGAUUUGAAGAGCAUCGAACAGGUGAGUAACGCGUGGCGAAUCUGCCUUUGAGCGGGGGACAACAUUUGGAAACGAAUGCUAAUACCGCAUAACAACUUUAAACAUAAGUUUUAAGUUUGAAAGAUGCAAUUGCAUCACUCAAAGAUGAUCCCGCGUUGUAUUAGCUAGUUGGUGAGGUAAAGGCUCACCAAGGCGAUGAUACAUAGCCGACCUGAGAGGGUGAUCGGCCACAGUGGGACUGAGACACCGCCCCAACUCCUAAGGGAGGCAGCAGUAGGGAAACUUCGGCAAUGGACGAAAGUCCGACCGAGCAACGCCGGGUGAGUGAAGAAAGGUUUCGGAUCGUAAAACUAUGUUGGUCGGGAAGAACGUUGGUCAGAGUAAAAAGUUCAUCAAGUGACGGUAACUAACGAGAAAGGGACGGCUAACUACGUG